This 957-nucleotide non-coding RNA is filed under the name Hypsiprymnodon moschatus (musky rat kangaroo). Its description in RNAcentral is "12S ribosomal RNA". It matches the Rfam family "Bacterial small subunit ribosomal RNA". The record is from RNAcentral. Lineage: Eukaryota; Metazoa; Chordata; Mammalia; Diprotodontia; Potoroidae.
CAUAGGUUUGGUCCUGGCCCUACUGUUAAUUGUAAUUAGACCUACACAUGCAAGCUUCCACAAUCCGGUGAGAUAUGCCCUACAGAUUACUUACCAUAAUCGUUAAGGAGCGGGCAUCAGGCACACCACAGGUAGCCCAUCACGCCUUGCUUAGCCACACCCCCACGGGAUACAGCAGUGACUAAUAUUAAGCCAUAAACGAAAGUUUGACUAAAUCAUAAUUAAAUCAGGGUUGGUAAAUUUCGUGCCAGCCGCCGCGGUCAUACGAUUAACCCAAGUUAACAGAAAACCGGCGUAAAGCGUGUUUAAGCACAAACCUACAAAUAAAGCUAAGACGCAACUAAGCUGUAAUACGCUAUAGUCAACAUUAAAAUACACUACAAAAGUGGCUUUAAUACCGCUGAAGACACGACAGCUAAGACACAAACUGGGAUUAGAUACCCCACUAUGCUCAGCUUUAAACCAAGAUAAUUAAACAACAAAAUUAUUCGCCAGAGAACUACUAGCAAUCGCUUAAAACUCAAAGGACUUGGCGGUGUCCUAAACCCACCUAGAGGAGCCUGUUCUAUAAUCGAUAAACCACGAUACACCUCACCCCUUCUUGCCAAUACAGCCUAUAUACCGCCAUCGUCAGCUGGCCCCAACAGGGCUAAUAAAGCCAGCAAGAUUACUCAACCGUAAAAACGUUAGGUCAAGGUGUAGCAUAUGAAGGGGGAAGCAAUGGGCUACAUUUUCUAAAUUAGAACAAACGAAUUAUCUUAUGAAACCUAAGACAUAUGAAGGAGGAUUUAGCAGUAAAUUAAGAAUAGAGAGCUUAAUUGAAACAGGCAAUAGGACGCGCACACACCGCCCGUCACCCUCCUCGAUAAAACUGGAUAAAUAACUAAUAACUCCGAGCACAAAAAGAGGAGAAAAGUCGUAACAUGGUAAGUGUACUGGAAAGUGCACUUGGAACAU